This 253-nucleotide ribosomal RNA is filed under the name uncultured bacterium. Its description in RNAcentral is "partial 16S ribosomal RNA". It matches the Rfam family "Bacterial small subunit ribosomal RNA", at positions 524 to 776 of the family's 1533-position model. The record is from RNAcentral.
UACGGAGGGUGCAAGCGUUGCUCGGAAUUAUUGGGCGUAAAGAGCUCGUAGGCGGCUUGUCGCGUCGGAUGUGAAAGCCCGGGGCUUAACUCCGGGUCUGCAUUCGAUACGGGCAGGCUAGAGUUCGGUAGGGGAGAUCGGAAUUCCUGGUGUAGCGGUGAAAUGCGCAGAUAUCAGGAGGAACACCGGUGGCGAAGGCGGAUCUCUGGGCCGAUACUGACGCUGAGGAGCGAAAGCGUGGGGAGCGAACAGG